AUGGGUAGCUUGCUCCCUGAUGUUAGCGGCGGACGGGUGAGUAACACGUGGGUAACCUGCCUGUAAGACUGGGAUAACUCCGGGAAACCGGGGCUAAUACCGGAUGGUUGUUUGAACCGCAUGGUUCAGACAUAAAAGGUGGCUUCGGCUACCACUUACAGAUGGACCCGCGGCGCAUUAGCUAGUUGGUGAGGUAACGGCUCACCAAGGCAACGAUGCGUAGCCGACCUGAGAGGGUGAUCGGCCACACUGGGACUGAGACACGGCCCAGACUCCUACGGGAGGCAGCAGUAGGGAAUCUUCCGCAAUGGACGAAAGUCUGACGGAGCAACGCCGCGUGAGUGAUGAAGGUUUUCGGAUCGUAAAGCUCUGUUGUUAGGGAAGAACAAGUGCCGUUCAAAUAGGGCGGCACCUUGACGGUACCUAACCAGAAAGCCACGGCUAACUACGUGCCAGCAGCCGCGGUAAUACGUAGGUGGCAAGCGUUGUCCGGAAUUAUUGGGCGUAAAGGGCUCGCAGGCGGUUUCUUAAGUCUGAUGUGAAAGCCCCCGGCUCAACCGGGGAGGGUCAUUGGAAACUGGGGAACUUGAGUGCAGAAGAGGAGAGUGGAAUUCCACGUGUAGCGGUGAAAUGCGUAGAGAUGUGGAGGAACACCAGUGGCGAAGGCGACUCUCUGGUCUGUAACUGACGCUGAGGAGCGAAAGCGUGGGGAGCGAACAGGAUUAGAUACCCUGGUAGUCCACGCCGUAAACGAUGAGUGCUAAGUGUUAGGGGGUUUCCGCCCCUUAGUGCUGCAGCUAACGCAUUAAGCACUCCGCCUGGGGAGUACGGUCGCAAGACUGAAACUCAAAGGAAUUGACGGGGGCCCGCACAAGC
This 876-nucleotide ribosomal RNA is filed under the name Bacillus amyloliquefaciens. RNAcentral describes it as "bacterial SSU rRNA". It matches the Rfam family "Bacterial small subunit ribosomal RNA", at positions 71 to 930 of the family's 1533-position model. Lineage: Bacteria; Bacillati; Bacillota; Bacilli; Caryophanales; Bacillaceae. The record is from RNAcentral.